AGCAUGUUCGCUGGUGUGGAAUUUAUAAACUAUGUCUAAAAAUAGCUGAAAACAGUACGACAAUGUUCUAUUUUCGCCGUUCUGUCAAAAAAAGGAUUUUAACUGUAGAAGAUUCAUACCAUUUGAUGCCAAGUGUACAAUAAAAACUGAAAUGAAAAUUGACAGCAGAAGUGUCAUGGUCUUGGUGGAAAAUGCUGUGCUCUUCAUUGACCUCUGUUUAAUAAUGGCUUAUGAUAAAAAAAACUACCAGGAAUGCUCCAAGAUGGCAAUGGAGGGCAGUGUAAAAGACACUGAGAAAUCACAAUGUUUCAAACAUCUAGAAUAUGCCCAGAGUCAGUCUUCAAGAUACUCACCUUAAAGGUUCCAGUGUGAUUUAGGAGACUUUGUCAGAACAGUACAUUAUACCUACAUACACUGGAGAUACCAGACCCAACAGAUAACUACAGAUAUAUUUAAACAGAACCUGAAAUUAAUUGCAUAUCCCAAUACAACAUAAUACUUUAAACGGUUAAAUAGGCAGUGAGGCAUUUGUGUGUAAUCUUCAUUUAAUAUUUGAAAUUUCUUUUUCCUUUUUUUAAGUUUGAUUUUGCAUUUAAAAGCCAUUAGCAUUAGAUUUUUCAAAAAUAUAUGUAUUUUUAUACAGUUUCAACUGUGAUGUAUAUCCAGUUGUACAUGUUUCCUCUAAGGAUUAAAACACUUUUGAAUUAUAUAGGAAAAUUGAAAUGAUACAUUUAUUCAAACUUAUGGUAAAACACACACUACCAUUGUUGAUCAUGUAAACCUUCAUACUAUCUUUUAUAGAAAUUAUGUGAAUCUUUUGAUAUUUCUGAAUACAUUUAUUUUUACUUUUACUGGCUCAUGUUUAAACACAGAAUGCUAUAUAAAGUGUAUACUCCAGUGUAUAUCAUAACAUGAUUGAAAUAGAUAAUAGAUAAUAUUUGCAUGAAACUCUGAACACUUAACCACUUUGGCAAUCUGCACCAGUUAAGAUACUUUUUGUUGAAUAAUGUGUUUUGAUGAGACCAGCUUGUAAAAUAGCUGUUUUUCUUUUAGUCAUUUUGUGAAUACCUGAAUUAUCCUCGGGAUCUAUUUCAGUCAUACAGAUCCCAAGUACCGGUUAGGGCAAUGUGUCAUGUACCGCAUCAGGGGAAUCGGGUCAGCAGUGCAGAGAAUUGGGCAUUAAAAUGUUGCUAUUGGUUCGCCACGUCCAGGAUCGGGUGUUAACUUAGGGUUUUUACCUUGACUCCGACAAUGGACCGCGAGCUAUGGGGCGGAAUACGCGGGGGAAUAUGACCCCUGUGGGUGAUUGCAUGGUUCUAUGGGUUUAUAUAA
Molecule: long non-coding RNA, 1332 nt
Organism: Mya arenaria
Lineage: Eukaryota; Metazoa; Mollusca; Bivalvia; Myida; Myidae
Exons: 4
Source: RefSeq, a predicted model, not a curated record